UACGUAGGGGGCAAGCGUUGUCCGGAUUUAUUGGGCGUAAAGAGCGUGUAGGCGGCCAGACAGGUCCGUUGUGAAAACUCGAGGCUCAACCUCGAGACGCCGAUGGAAACCGUUUGGCUAGAGUCCGGAAGAGGAGAGUGGAAUUCCUGGUGUAGCGGUGAAAUGCGCAGAUAUCAGGAAGAACACCCGUGGCUAAGGCGGCUCUCUAGUACGGUACUGACGCUGAGGUGCGAAAGCGUGGGGAGCGAACAGG
RNAcentral lists this ribosomal RNA (253 nucleotides) under uncultured bacterium. RNAcentral's name for it is "partial 16S ribosomal RNA". It matches the Rfam family "Bacterial small subunit ribosomal RNA", at positions 524 to 776 of the family's 1533-position model. The record is from RNAcentral.